Molecule: ribosomal RNA, 371 nt
Filed under: uncultured organism
Description: bacterial SSU rRNA
Rfam family: Bacterial small subunit ribosomal RNA
Source: RNAcentral
CAGAGACUGCAAGCGUUAUUCGGAUUCACUGGCGUAAAGGGUGCGCAGGCGGCCGUGUGUGUGAGGCGUGAAAGCCCGGGGCUUAACCCCGGAAUUGCACCUCAAACUACAUGGCUAGAGCAUUGGAGAGGGUAGCAGAAUUCAUGGUGUAGCAGUGAAAUGCGUAGAUAUCAUGAGGAAUACCAGAGGCGAAGGCGGCUACCUGGACAAUUGCUGACGCUCAGGCACGAAAGCGUGGGGAGCAAAAGGGAUUAGAUACCCCUGUAGUCCACGCCCUAAACGGUGCACACUAGGUCUUGGCGGAUUCGACCCCCCCAGGGCCCCAGCUAACGCGUUAAGUGUGCCGCCUGAGGACUACGGCCGCAAGGCUA